CUGCGGAGGGAUCAUUGCUGGAACGCGCCCCAGGCGCACCCAGAAACCCUUUGUGAACUUAUACCUUUUGUUGCCUCGGCGCAUGCUGGCCUCUAGUAGGCCCCUCACCCCGGUGAGGAGACGGCACGCCGGCGGCCAAGUUAACUCUUGUUUUUACACUGAAACUCUGAGAAAAAACACAAAUGAAUCAAAACUUUCAACAACGGAUCUCUUGGUUCUGGCAUCGAUGAAGAACGCAGCGAAAUGCGAUAAGUAAUGUGAAUUGCAGAAUUCAGUGAAUCAUCGAAUCUUUGAACGCACAUUGCGCCCUCUGGUAUUCCGGAGGGCAUGCCUGUUCGAGCGUCAUUUCAACCCUCAAGCAUUGCUUGGUGUUGGGGCACUGCUUUUAACGAAGCAGGCCCUGAAAUCUAGUGGCGAGCUCGCCAGGACCCCGAGCGCAGUAGUUAAACCCUCGCUCUGGAAGGCCCUGGCGGUGCCCUGCCGUUAAACCCCCGACUUUUGAAAAUUUGACCUCGGAUCAGGUAGGAAUACCCGCUGAACUUAAGCAUAUCAAUA
RNAcentral lists this ribosomal RNA (555 nucleotides) under Diaporthe sp. 185CG/R. RNAcentral's name for it is "eukaryotic LSU rRNA". The stretch from base 192 to 345 matches the Rfam family "5.8S ribosomal RNA". Lineage: Eukaryota; Fungi; Ascomycota; Sordariomycetes; Diaporthales; Diaporthaceae. The record is from RNAcentral.